Dioscorea cayenensis subsp. rotundata (Guinea yam) is the source of this 236-nucleotide long non-coding RNA. RefSeq lists it as uncharacterized. NCBI's taxonomy places the organism in Eukaryota, Viridiplantae, Streptophyta, Magnoliopsida, Dioscoreales, Dioscoreaceae. The transcript is spliced from 4 exons. The record is from RefSeq and is a predicted model, not a curated record.
CCAACACCAAAAAUUUAUUCCCCACAUCCUCUUGAGUAAGGUGGCGAAGCACCUCCAAAGGGAAGGAAACCGCCAAUCAGUGUGCGCGUCUCCAUGCGAGGCAACAUGUUUUGUUUUAGUGGUUUGGGUCGUCAUAGCGAGGCGAAGUGUUAGCAGUUUGCAUUCCAAGUCAGGUUGUUUAUUUAUUGUUAAUCAGGUUGCAUUGUAUGAGUGCAGUGGAUCCACUAGUGUUCUUA